CAAAUAUUUUUAUUAUGAAUUUUUUCAUCGCUAUAUGUUAGACAAUAUGAAUACUUAAAAUUUAUAUGCCACGAACUAUUUUUUAAAAUAAAUCGGUUGCAACGCACGGGUAUUAUGAGAGUUAUUAUUGUGAAGAAAAUAGUUGAGCAAAGUGACUCCCCACCCCCAUGAACUGUUCAACAACCUUAGCUUCUCCAACCUCUGGAAAAUGGCACAAAGACAUCAGCAUACACAAAAACAAGUCAACACCAACCAAACCCUAAUUGCUUAGAGGACAAAGUUAGCUAGGCAGCUAGCUAAGCUAGUCACACAUCACCAUCACACACACCAAGCCACACCAGCAACAGCAGCAAGCAACCCAAUCCAAGAACCAGAGAAGGAGGAGGAGAUCUGGGUGGCAAUCUGGCGGAUCAAUGGGGAAGAAGACCAGAUCAAGAAAUCAUCGGUAGAGUGUUCACAGGAAGAGGCCAGAUCGGAGGAGGAGCAUCCGGAUCGAUGCAGAUGAGCAGCGGCGGCGUCGGCGUCGGCGGCGGCGGAGGGAGCAAGGUGAUGUCGCCGAAGCAGGUGCUCACCGUCGUCCUCGUCGUGUUCUGCGCGCUCUCCUUCGUCAAGCUGCUGCUCCUCACCGGCUCCUCGUCGCCCGCCGCCGCCGCGCGCCGCGGCCGCGCCUCGGCGUGGGGGAACGGGACGGACGUGGGGGACGGCGGCCUCGCGCCCAAGGAGGCCGCACUGCUCCGGUCCGUGGUCGCCGCGCGCGCGCCGUGCCGGCUGCUCGUGUUCGGCCUCUCCCCGCAGCUCGCCGCGCUCGCCGCGGUCAACGCCGGGGAGGGCGCCGCCACCGCGUUCGUCACCGACAGCGCCGAGGACGCCGACAGCGCGCGCCGCUCGCUCCGCGGCGGCUCGGCGGCCGUCGGCGGCGGCGGCGGCCAAGAUCCACCAGGUGAGGUACCGCGACGCGGCUGGGGAGGCGUGGCCGCUGCUGCGGCGCGCGCGGGACAGCCCGGCGUGCCGGCGUCCGACGGGGGCGGUGCGCAGGUCCGGCUGCCACCUGGCGCUGAUCACCACGCUGCCGCGGGAGGUGCUCGACGCGAGGUGGGACGUGCUCGUCGUGGACGGGCCGAGCGGCGCCGCCGCCGGGGAGCCCGGCCGGAUGGGCGCCAUCUACACGGCGGCGGGCGCUGGCGCGCGCCUCGGCGGCGGGAGGCCGGGAGGCGGUGGACGUCGCCGUGCACGAUGUGCACCGCACGGUGGAGCGGUGGUACGCCUGGGAGUACCUCUGCGAGGACAACCUCGCCGCCGCCAAGGGCCGCCUCUGGCACUUCCGCGUCGCCGGCGGCGGCCCGCCGGACGCGUUCUGCUCGACCGGCCCCGCCCAGAUCUUGUAAGGAUGGCCGGACCAAUAACCAAUGCUCCCCGGAGACAUCGCCGGUUCUUGGCAAUGCAGCACACAGAUCCCCCUUCCAUCGGCAUCGCCGGAGACAGGAGCCGUUCUUGAAGACGGCGACGGCGACCGCGCAGUUGGUUUGUUCAUAGCUAGUGUGAGCUGAGCUAAUGUGAAGAAUUGAUCUUUCUACUCUUUAGGUACUGGAUUGAUGCAAUUCCAUAGCUCGAACUGAAUUCCUUGAUGGUUGAUGCAAUGCAAAGACAAGCAGAGAGUUUGUAAAGUGUAUACUAGUAAACCGAAUUGUUGUUGUUUCA
Non-coding RNA from Oryza sativa Japonica Group (Japanese rice), 1698 nucleotides. NCBI's taxonomy places the organism in Eukaryota, Viridiplantae, Streptophyta, Magnoliopsida, Poales, Poaceae. The record is from RefSeq and is a predicted model, not a curated record.